Molecule: ribosomal RNA, 254 nt
Filed under: uncultured bacterium
Lineage: Bacteria
Description: partial 16S ribosomal RNA
Rfam family: Bacterial small subunit ribosomal RNA
Source: RNAcentral
UACGGAGGGGGCAAGCGUUGUUCGGAUUUACUGGGCGUAAAGGGUCCGUAGGUGGUUGUGUAAGUCUGGUGUGAAAUCUUCGCCGCUUAACGGGAAGAAGCCACUGGAAACUGCGCAACUUGAGUAUGGUAGAGGCAAGCGGAAUUCCUGGUGUAGCGGUGGAAUGUGUAGAUAUCAGGAGGAAUACCGAUGGCGAAGGCAGGUCUCUGGGCUAUAACUGACGCUCAUGCACGAAAGCGUGGGGAGCAAACAGG